Molecule: unclassified non-coding RNA, 351 nt
Filed under: soil metagenome
Description: partial contains 5.8S ribosomal RNA, internal transcribed spacer 2, and large subunit ribosomal RNA
Rfam family: 5.8S ribosomal RNA (bases 1-120)
Source: RNAcentral
GAUGAAGAACGUAGCGAAAUGCGAUAAGUAAUGUGAAUUGCAGAAUUCAGUGAAUCAUCGAAUCUUUGAACGCACAUUGCGCCCGCCAGUAUUCUGGCGGGCAUGCCUGUUCGAGCGUCAUUACAACCCUCAGGCCCCCGGGCCUGGCGUUGGGGAUCGGCGGAGCCCCCCGUGGGCACACGCCGUCCCCCAAAUGCAGUGGCGGUCCCGCCGCAGCUUCCAUCGCGUAGUAGCUAACACCUCGCGACUGGAGAGCGGCGCGGCCACGCCGUAAAACACCCAACUCUUCUGAAGUUGACCUCGAAUCAGGUAGGAAUACCCGCUGAACUUAAGCAUAUCAAUAGCGGAGGA